GAUGAACGCUGGCGGCGUGCCUAAUACAUGCAAGUCGAGCGAACGGACGAGAAGCUUGCUUCUCUGAUGUUAGCGGCGGACGGGUGAGUAACACGUGGAUAACCUACCUAUAAGACUGGGAUAACUUCGGGAAACCGGAGCUAAUACCGGAUAAUAUUUUGAACCGCAUGGUUCAAAAGUGAAAGACGGUCUUGCUGUCACUUAUAGAUGGAUCCGCGCUGCAUUAGCUAGUUGGUAAGGUAACGGCUUACCAAGGCAACGAUGCAUAGCCGACCUGAGAGGGGGAUCGGCAACGCGGGAGGGGAGCCAAGGUCCAGACUCCUGCGGGAGGCAGAAGUAGGGAAUGUUACGGAAUGGGGGAAAGCCUGACGGAGCAAAGUCGCGUGAGUGAUGAAGGUCUUCGGAUCGUAAAGCGCUGUGAUUAGGGAAGAAAAAAAGGGUAAGUAACUAUGAACGUCAUGACGGUACCGAGUGAGAAAGCCACGGCUAACUACGGG
RNAcentral lists this ribosomal RNA (497 nucleotides) under uncultured bacterium. RNAcentral's name for it is "partial 16S ribosomal RNA". It matches the Rfam family "Bacterial small subunit ribosomal RNA", at positions 28 to 507 of the family's 1533-position model. The record is from RNAcentral.